UAAGGAAGGUGCAAGCAUUAAUCGGAAUUAUUGGGCGUAAAGGGCGCGUAGGCGGAUUUGUAAGUCAGAUGUGAAAUACCGAAGCUUAACUUCGGUGCUGCAUUUGAAACUACAAAUCUAGAGGGUUGACGGAGAAAACGGAAUUCCACGUGUAGCGGUGAAAUGCGUGGAUAUGUGGAAGAACACCGGUGGCGAAGGCGGUUUUCUAGUUAAUACCUGACGCUGAGGCGCGAAAGCAAGGGGAGCAAACAGG
This 253-nucleotide ribosomal RNA is filed under the name uncultured bacterium. RNAcentral's name for it is "partial 16S ribosomal RNA". It matches the Rfam family "Bacterial small subunit ribosomal RNA", at positions 524 to 776 of the family's 1533-position model. The record is from RNAcentral.